This 561-nucleotide long non-coding RNA is filed under the name Gallus gallus (chicken). Its description in RNAcentral is "lncRNA (ENSGALG00010000114.1)". Lineage: Eukaryota; Metazoa; Chordata; Aves; Galliformes; Phasianidae. The record is from RNAcentral.
CGGGCGGCGCCGGGCUGCGGUGAGGCGGAGAGCGGCGUGCGUGCGUAAACGUGGGAGGAUACAGGACAGGAGACCUGGAACGUCCGUGCCGUGAGAGACCGGCCGGUCCUCCUGCAGUCCUCUCACACCUGCAGGGUCAGAACAGGUGAACAGACUGAGACGGCUGUUGGUGUGCAGUCCCUGACAGGAGCAGCGGAAGAGCCUUAAGGAAGCGGGGCUCUCCCAGAAGAGAGAGGCACGCAAACACUGCUGCUGUAAAGCUUCAGGUGAUGGGCUGCGACAAUUGCGUGUGCAGCCCUGAGCUCCUCUGCACUCAGCGGUGAGAAACGGGACCCGCCAGAGAUCUGUCAGAGCGCUCCGUCUCUGCUGAGCGCGGUACCGACAGCCGCGCACCGCUCCGCGCCACUCACCGCGCCGCGUCCACCCGCAGCUCCUGGAGGGCCGUCCGCAGGCUGCGCUCCUCCUCGUCCUCGUCGUCGUCGUCCUCGUCCUCGUCGUCGUCCUGCUGCUGCUGCUGCUGCUCCUCCUCGUCCUCGUGCCGCCUGUUUGCAAGCCAAGGAC